UUAUCAGAAAAAAAUUAGCAAUGUUGGGUUC
RNAcentral lists this non-coding RNA (31 nucleotides) under Mus musculus (house mouse). The record is from RNAcentral. Lineage: Eukaryota; Metazoa; Chordata; Mammalia; Rodentia; Muridae.